UCAGGAUGAACGCUAGCUACAGGCUUAACACAUGCAAGUCGAGGGGCAGCAUUGGAGUAGCAAUACUCAGAUGGCGACCGGCGCACGGGUGAGUAACACGUAUCCAACCUGCCGCUUACUCGGGGAUAGCCUUUCGAAAGAAAGAUUAAUACCCGAUGGUAUAAAGAGUUCGCAUGUUCUCUUUAUUAAAGAAUUUCGGUAAGCGAUGGGGAUGCGUUCCAUUAGAUUGUUGGCGGGGUAACGGCCCACCAAGUCUACGAUGGAUAGGGGUUCUGAGAGGAAGGUCCCCCACAUUGGAACUGAGACACGGUCCAAACUCCUACGGGAGGCAGCAGUGAGGAAUAUUGGUCAAUGGACGAGAGUCUGAACCAGCCAAGUAGCGUGAAGGAUGACUGCCCUAUGGGUUGUAAACUUCUUUUAUAAGGGAAUAAAGUGAGGGACGUGUCCCUUUUUGUAUGUACCUUUAUGAAUAAGGAUCGGCUAACUCCGUGCCAGCAGCUGC
This 502-nucleotide ribosomal RNA is filed under the name uncultured bacterium. RNAcentral's name for it is "bacterial SSU rRNA". It matches the Rfam family "Bacterial small subunit ribosomal RNA", at positions 24 to 518 of the family's 1533-position model. The record is from RNAcentral.